RNAcentral lists this ribosomal RNA (468 nucleotides) under uncultured bacterium. Its description in RNAcentral is "partial 16S ribosomal RNA". It matches the Rfam family "Bacterial small subunit ribosomal RNA", at positions 28 to 507 of the family's 1533-position model. The record is from RNAcentral.
GACGAACGCUGGCGGCGUGCUUAACACAUGCAAGUCGAACGGAAAGGCCCUGCGUUUGUGGGGUUCUCGAGUGGCGAACGGGGGAGUAACACGUGAGUAACCUGCCCUUGACUGUGGGAUAACUUCAGGAAACUGGGGCGAAUACCGGAGAGGAGCUCCUGCUGCAUGGUGGGGGUUGGAAAGUGUCGGCGGUUGGGGAUGGACUCGCGGCUUAUCAGCUUGUUGGUGGGGUAGUGGCUUACCAAGGCUUUGACGGGUAGCCGGCCUGAGAGGGUGACCGGGCACAUUGCGACUGCGAUACGGACCAGAAUCCUACGGGAGGCAGCAGUGGGGAAUCUUGCACAAUGGGCGGAAGCCUGAUGCAGCAACGUUGCGUGCGGGAUGCCGGCCUUCGGGUUGUAAACCGAUUUCGACUGUGACGAAGAGUGAGUGACGGUACCGGGUCAAGAAGCACCGGCUAACUACGUG